UGGGGGAUAUUGCACAAUGGGCGAAAGCCUGAUGCAGCGACGCCGCGUGGGGGAUGAAGGCUUUCGGGUUGUAAACCUCUUUCGCUAUCGAACAAGGCCCGCUUAGGGUGGGUUGAGGGUAGGUGGAGAAGAAGCGCCGGCUAACUACGUGCCAGCAGCCGCGGUAAUACGUAGGGCGCGAGCGUUGUCCGGAAUUAUUGGGCGUAAAGGGCUUGUAGGCGGCUUGUUGCGCCUGCUGUGAAAACGCGGGCUUAACUUCGCGCGUGCAGUGGGUACGGGCAGGCUUGAGUGUGGUAGGGGUGACUGGAAUUCCAGGUGUAGCGGUGGAAUGCGCAGAUAUCUGGAGGAACACCGAUGGCGAAGGCAGGUCACUGGGCCAUUACUGACGCUGAGGAGCGAAAGCAUGGGUAGCGAACAGG
This 419-nucleotide ribosomal RNA is filed under the name bacterium. RNAcentral's name for it is "partial 16S ribosomal RNA". It matches the Rfam family "Bacterial small subunit ribosomal RNA", at positions 355 to 776 of the family's 1533-position model. The record is from RNAcentral.